RNAcentral lists this long non-coding RNA (1211 nucleotides) under Corvus moneduloides (New Caledonian crow). Its description in RNAcentral is "lncRNA (ENSCMUG00000020301.1)". Lineage: Eukaryota; Metazoa; Chordata; Aves; Passeriformes; Corvidae. The record is from RNAcentral.
CCCCCCGCCCGGACCCCCCAAGUGACCUCGCUGUGGAUCCUCGGAGCCGUUGCCGCCUCCAGAAGCGAAAGGAAAAGCGCGGCCAGAACCGAAAGGAAAAGCGCCGCAACCGCCCCCAGUACGGCCGUGACCCCGAACUGGGCAGACUGGGGGGGCGGGGGACACCGAGGGGACACCGAGGGGACACAGAGCCGGGGGGGCAGCGGCUCCCGAAGCCCCCCCAGUGCUGUCCCCGCUGCUGUCCCGGGGUCACCUGGGCCGGGCGAAGGGAGGGAAACCCUGGGGGGACGCGGGAGGAGAGGGAGGGUCGUGCCAGGGACCGUGCCAGGGACCGUGCCAGGUGUCCUGCCAGGUGUCACAGGUGCCAGGUGUCCUGACAGGUGUCCUGCCAGGUGUCCUGACAGGUGUCACAGGUGCCAGGUGUCACAGGUGCCAGGUGUCCUGACAGGUGUCCUGCCAGGUGUCCUGACAGGUGUCCUGCCAGGUGUCACAGGUGCCAGGUGUCCUGCCAGGUGCCAGCCCAGGUGCCAGCCCAGGUGCUGUGACACUCGCCCGCCCCCAGGCCCCCCCCGCCAGUGGAGAGGGGAGGAGAACCCCGAGUGGACGUUGGGGUUGAGGCAGGAAGGGAUCAGGGACGGAACCCAAAUAAACGCCGGGGUAAUGACGGUCACUGUCACCGUCAUCGUCACCAUCGUCAUCGUCACCAUCGUUAUCAAUGUCAUCAUCGUCACCAUCGUCACCAUCGUUAUCAAUGUCAUCAUCGUCACCAUCGUCACCAUCGUCAUCAUCGUCACUGUCAUCAUCACCAUCGUCACCGCAAAUAAACAUCAAAGAUCAACCCCAAAACAGCCAAGAAGGGGCGGUCGGACCCCAAACUGCCACCCCUGGGUUCUCCAUCGCUCCGGCUGCUCCGUGUCCCAUCCCAGUGUCCAUCCCAAUGUCCCACCAUCCCAAUGUCCAUCCCUGUCCCAUCCCAAUGUCCAUCUGGGUCCCACCAUCCCAAUGUCCAUCCCAAUGUCCCACCAUCCCAAUGUCCAUCCGUGUCCCAUCCCAAUGUCCAUCCAUGUCCCACCAUCCCAAUGACCAUCCCUGUCCCAUCCCAAUGUCCCUCCCAAUGUCCCACCAUCCCAAUGUCCGUCCCGGUCCCAUCCCAAUGUCCCACCAUCCCAAUGUCCAUCCCAAUGUCCCACCAUCCCAAUGUCCACCCCAAU